Molecule: ribosomal RNA, 241 nt
Filed under: uncultured bacterium
Lineage: Bacteria
Description: partial 16S ribosomal RNA
Rfam family: Bacterial small subunit ribosomal RNA
Source: RNAcentral
UACGAAGGGGGCUAGCGUUGCUCGGAAUCACUGGGCGUAAAGGGUGCGUAGGCGGGUUUUUAAGUCAGGGGUGAAAUCCUGGAGCUCAACUCCAGAACUGCCUUUGAUACUGAAGAUCUUGAGUUCGGGAGAGGUGAGUGGAACUGCGAGUGUAGAGGUGAAAUUCGUAGAUAUUCGCAAGAACACCAGUGGCGAAGGCGGCUCACUGGCCCGAUACUGACGCUGAGGCACGAAAGCGUGG